RNAcentral lists this ribosomal RNA (497 nucleotides) under uncultured bacterium. Its description in RNAcentral is "partial 16S ribosomal RNA". It matches the Rfam family "Bacterial small subunit ribosomal RNA", at positions 28 to 507 of the family's 1533-position model. The record is from RNAcentral.
GAUGAACGCUGGCGGCGUGCCUAAUACAUGCAAGUCGAGCGAACAGACGAGGAGCUUGCUCCUCUGACGUUAGCGGCGGACGGGUGAGUAACACGUGUAUAACCUACCUAUAAGACUGGGAUAACUUCGGGACACCGGAGCUAAUACCGGAUAAUAUAUUGAACCGCAUGGUUCAAUAGUGAAAGACGGUUUUGCUGUCACUUAUAGAUGGAUCCGCGCUGCAUUAGCUAGUUGGUAAGGUAACGGCUUACCAAGGCAACGAUGCGUAGCCGACCUGAGAGGGUGAUCGGCCACACUGGAACUGAGACACGGUCCAGACUCCUACGGGAGGCAGCAGUAGCGAAUCUUCCGCAAUGGGCGAGAGCCUGACGGAGCAACGCCGCGUGAGUGAUGAAGGUCUUCGGAUCGUAAAACUCUGUUAUUAGGGAAGAACAAAUGUGUAAGUAACUAUGCACGUCUUGACGGUACCUAAUCAGAAAGCCACGGCUAACUACGUG